This 96-nucleotide small nucleolar RNA is filed under the name Cervus elaphus hippelaphus. RNAcentral's name for it is "Small nucleolar RNA SNORA70". It matches the Rfam family "Small nucleolar RNA SNORA70". Rfam says of the family: snoRNA U70 seems to be exclusive to mammals and is a member of the H/ACA class of snoRNA which contain H (ANANNA) and ACA box motifs. Lineage: Eukaryota; Metazoa; Chordata; Mammalia; Artiodactyla; Cervidae. RNAcentral also lists the same sequence under 1 other name. The record is from Rfam by way of RNAcentral.
UUCAAAAUGCAUUUGAGUGGAUGCAGACAGCCCCCCUGGGGAGCGUAUGCGGCCUGUUGCCCGUCCAGGUUGCCCUAAGGAGCCCUGGAGACAGCC